This 71-nucleotide transfer RNA is filed under the name Isthmohyla lancasteri (Lancaster's treefrog). RNAcentral's name for it is "partial tRNA-Ile". It matches the Rfam family "tRNA". Rfam says of the family: Transfer RNA (tRNA) molecules are approximately 80 nucleotides in length. Lineage: Eukaryota; Metazoa; Chordata; Amphibia; Anura; Hylidae. The record is from RNAcentral.
GGAAAUGUGCCCGAAAACUAGGAAUCUCCUUGAUAGGGAGAAUAAUAGGGGUUAAAAUCCCCUCGUUUCCU